RNAcentral lists this ribosomal RNA (216 nucleotides) under Glomeromycotina sp. RNAcentral's name for it is "partial small subunit ribosomal RNA". The stretch from base 75 to 216 matches the Rfam family "Eukaryotic small subunit ribosomal RNA", at positions 721 to 864 of the family's 1831-position model. Lineage: Eukaryota; Fungi; Glomeromycota. The record is from RNAcentral.
GGGUCAGUAGGUUGGUCGUGCCACCGGUACGUACUGGUCUCACUGAUUCCUCCUCCCUGAAGAACCGUAAUGCCAUUAAUUUGGUGUUGCGGGGAAACAGGACUGUUACUUUGAAAAAAUUAGAGUGUUUAAAGCAAGCUAACGCUUGAAUAUAUUAGCAUGGAAUAAUGAAAUAGGACGAUCGAUCCUAUUUUGUUGGUCUCUAGGAUUGACGUA